This 4569-nucleotide long non-coding RNA is filed under the name Marmota monax (woodchuck). Lineage: Eukaryota; Metazoa; Chordata; Mammalia; Rodentia; Sciuridae. The record is from RNAcentral.
GCUGGGGUCCACUCAAGAGAGCCUUGUACUCUAAGCUUUCCUCAAAAUUUAUGGAUCUGUGGAAUAUUUCAAGAAAGAGAAUAACAGGAUCAGCUUUGCAUUCUAGAAAGGUCACUCUGAAGGAUGAGGGAUAUUCUUGAAUCAGGAAUUAGCCCAAAAGGUAGAUAUAACAAAGGCUUGAGUAAGACAGAGAAAGAGAGGGAAUGGCAUGGAGAGGUAAGGAGGAGGACACAACAGGUUUCCUGACAGUGUGGCUUUGGCACCUAAGGAGAGCUGGGCUCCAGGGUGGUUUCCGGUUUCCAACUCAAGUGACCCAAGUGGAACAUGGAGUCAUCAAUGAGUUGGCAAGAACAAAGUGGGACCUGACUUAGAAGAAGCUCCUAAAGGGAAAGAAGGGCUGGGAAACGGGACAGAUGGGUAUAUAGUUUGAGGCAAGUCAAAUAGGAGAUGAGAUAUUUAGUGAAAAUGUUCAGUAAAAAUGUGGAGCCCAGGUGAGGCCUGAAGAAGAGUCGGAUGUCCAGAGUGGCUCAAUGGGUAGAGUCAUAGGGGGAUGAGGCUGUACAGGAGAUGGCAGCUGAGAAAGGUUCUAGAUAAGGAGAUGGAGCCCCUGAAAUUCCAGCACAAGAACAAAGAGCCCAAGAGGCAACUGGGGAAGCAGAGUGGGUCCUGGGAGAGUGAAGGGGGUGGGUAUUUGAACAUGGUGGCAAAACGCAAGGGUGGCAAUUGUUACUUCUGAGAGAAGUCAAGUAAGCUGAGGGCCCUUCAGAAGAGAGGAUUACCAGCAACCCCAGUGGCAGGAGUUCAGUCACUCCUGUGGGAUAACAGGAUGAUAGGAGGAGGGUUAGAGAAUGGAGGAGAAAGUUUCUAAGUUUAUGGGGUGGAGUGAGAGGACUAGCUGUGAGUGAGAGGUGGAGGAUUAUAGGGUUAUCAGGUUCCCACUUUAGGGCUCAAGUCACACCUCUUGGCAUGCUGCUUUAUUUUCCUUACCACAUCCUUGAUUGUGGCUUGUAAAUCUUGAAGCCUGCUCCUUUAGCCCUCUCAGACACUCGGUUCAAAAAUAUGUAAUGAAUUGAAAGAAUUAGCAUUUGUCAUCUCCAAGAAUCCCAGGUGGCUUGAAAAAGUCCUGAGUAGCUUCAGUUACAGGUUUUUUGUUCUGAAACCUCUGCUUUCAAACUGAUUGCAUCACUGCCUCCAGGAACACCUGACAGGUAGGAUCCCCCCCUUGCCUAACCCUGCUUCCUUUCUCUCAGCAGGCAGAGUGACGAGCUGCCUGCAGUCUGCAGCUGAGGCACCCAGAGACCUGGUGUCUCUGAACAGCUCCGAGCGCUGCCUGCUCUGAGCUAGCCAGCUCCUGCCUGGGCUGAGCAGCGAGAGAGAAAGACAUCUGUGAUAUCCGAUGACAAUCAUCUCUGAUUAGAGUGUCACCACAUAGCACAGGCGAGCCGGGGCCACAGCUAAUUAGCUAUGUGAGGCCAGCACUGUUUACUGUAACUGUACUAACAAGUUGCAGCUUUUUCUAUUGCUGAAGAGUCAUUGCACAAAUGCCAGCCAGGAACCCUUCACUCCAACAGUUUAGGGACAGACUUGCUACCUCCUUACUGUACCAAUACCAGGAAACAUUAAUACCUUUGUGCCAAGAACCUCUUCAAGUCCAUGUUUCCUCCUUCUGCAUACCGUCACCUCAAGUCAUAAUAGUAGAAUAAGUUGCUUUAUUGAAUCUGAAAUUAUUCUAAAUGGGCUUGCACUUUUAAAUGGAUACCUCUUUUUCUUUUUUAGCACCCCUUGGGCUAUGUCAAGGAAUCAGCUAACUCUGGGAAAUACAGCUAAGAUGGCUUUGUCAUUUGAGCUAAAGUGUGACAGGAGCAGAUGGAAAGACCAGAAGCUUAAUGGGAAUUAAAGGCAUGCACUCUACUUUAUCCCAUUCAUGUUUGAUAUAUUUGAUCUAUUGUUCAUAAACAUAUUACCUUUAAGGAUAUAGUUCCGAUUUUUUGCUAUAAAACCCAUUGAAAUCAGUUUCAAGAUAUUUUUUCUAAGGCUUUUUCAACAUAAGAGAAAAUUUCCUUGUAAGUUCUCUUACACCCAUAGAAGAAGCAUUUCUCUAUAACUUCAAAAAAUGAUAUGCUAUCUUGCAGCUUCUAUAUCUUUUAGAAAUAAAUGCUUCUAACUCAGGAGCCUUGAAUUGGAAACAUUGUGUGUAUAAUACUGAUGAAACUCAUGUAACUAUUUGAGCUUGAUUUCAGGAUACUUUUAUAUUUUGGCCAUUGAGAAAACUUUGGAGAAUUUUACAAAGUCAGUGAAAAUUAGUAACAUCUUCCUUGGAAUUACUACUACCAGAAGCCUAAACCUUCACAAAUUGACUCAUUUGUUCGUCUGAGAAAUCUACCAACUUAUCUUCCCAAGUUCCCAAUCUAAGGACUUCAAAUAUUUUGCCGAAUUCCUACUUUCCUUCCCUGAGCCAAAACUAGUUGCUCAGAAACUUUCAGAAAACAGAAUGCCAAAAUAAUUCUGAAAGUCCAUAUGUUGUCAUAUACAAGUAUAGGACUUUUUACGGACACAAAAAACUGAUAUUUUAUUUUCCAGAGAAAACCAUGGACUAAACGUCUUGAAAAUACACACAGUGUUCCUAGCACCAGUGCAUAAAGUAGAAGCUCUGGAAAUGUAAAUACUUUCAAUAAAGCGCACUGUGGGUGCGUUAUUUCAUUUCAGUACUGUUUAAAAUUAAUUUAUCAUUGAAAGCACAUUUUAGAGUGAGUUUCCAUAAAUCUCCAUAUUUAGAAAUUCAAAAGUGUCUUUAGCAUGCUCAUUCACUUUGUUACUUUCAUAAUUUCCAACAAGCAAAGUUUCUUUUCUUAAUGAAAGUGGUAUUUUUAGGGAUAUUUUUUUGCUUUAACUUUAAACAAAAUUCCCUCUCCAGGAGGAAGGUUGAUUACCAAUCUUUGGUCUGGAGGUAAGUUUUACAGCUGUUUUAAACCCAUGAAAGUGGGUCUUAUAUUGGAAGUGCUGACACAGCCCUAUCCACCAUGUAUCGGCAUGAACUAUACCGCUGUAAUAAGCAGUUAUUAUGUAUGUGUAAAAAUAAUGAGAGGCCGUGUCUGAAGAGAGUUAAUGUAAAAUGCUAAGCAAUUAUAGUUGGUUACACAGUAUAGGUUAAUAUUCUUUCAUAUAGCUGCACUUUUUUUUUCUUCUUUUGUCCUCCAGAACUCCUAAUGAAAAUUUUGAGACCUGACUGUAAUGAUAAGCAGCCAUUCACACGUCCUUUGUGUCAAGGCUGCUGCAUUAGCGGCUCCCCUUCAUAUAACAUUUUGCAUAGCCUAAAGCAUCUAUUAAAAUCCUUUGUAAAAUUCAUGAAACAAAAGUGGUGGGUUGAGUCUAGGGGGAGAGAAAGUAAGCUGCUUAUUAGCAAAAAGUCAAAAACACAGGGCCAAUUACAGAUCUGAACAAGAAGGGCUAAGGAACAGCGCAGGGAGUAAUUCUUUCUUCAGCCCAAUGGGCUCAAGCGCGGGGCAGGUUGGAUGGAAAUAGCGCAACAGUCUGAGCAGUAAUUAAACAGAAAUGUUUGGAGUUAGAAACAGCUCUAUAACGACGGAAGGAAAUGCUCAACUCCAACUAUUGUCUGGCUUCACCAAGAUGCUAAAUUGGAAGGAUUUAGGGGUUGCUCCCUAAAGGAGAGAUGGGGGGUAGUGCAGAGGAGUGGGGGCUCAGGAGAUAUGUAAAGAAUCCGUUCUGUCUUUCAAAUGUUAUAAAUUAGAUUUAAAAGAGAGAGAGAGAGAGAGAGAGAGAGAGAGAGAGAGAGAGAGAGAGAGACCCGGAGAGAGAGAAAGAGGGAGAGCCUUCCUACCGAACCAGCAACAUAAAACUGAAUAAACCACAAUAAGAUUGCCCUUUUUCUGUUAUAAACUUGGCAUUAAGCUUGUCAUGUUCAAUGACAGCCUACUAGGCCUCAUGCUUUACCCUUUGGAAUUUGAAAGAUUGGCAGGUGUCAUGAUUUCCUUAACAUAAAAGACCUUGCAGAUAAUGUUCACCAUGCACAUUUAUACUUUCCUAACUCCACUUUCCUCCUCCCCGGCAUCAUCGGGUGAGCUUUCUACUCAGGCUGUGGGUGCUGGGGCUGCCUGGAAGUAUAUCUGGCCUGAGGACAAUGUUUACUGCCAAAGGAGCUUGCGGCAGAGGCUGUACUUUUAUGAUUCUCCUUAGCAGUCUAAACAUGCCCCACAUUUACAAUAAUGAGCUGCUUUGUAGAGAGCAGCGCUCUGAGAGCAUUGUUACUUCUCUUUGAAAUGUUGAAUGCAACCAGAAUGGCUCUCCUCUGACUUAAGGCUAGAAACAGGGUCCCAUUUAAACAAUAAUCCCCUCUCUUUGCAACCUCCCACUCCAGCCAGAUCCUUGCAAUAACUCCAAGGGGGGAAAAUCCCAUCAACAUGAAGAGAAACACAAAACUCCUAUGGAAGGCUGACACUUCUGUUUCUAGUGGCAUCUCUGAAUGGCACCUGUUUGCUACCACCCAAUGUCAUUUGAAAAUAAACAGAUGAGUUCCCCCACCCCCACCCCAGAGGAAUCAGUGGCCAGAAU